GGGACUCUGGGAAGGGUGCAGGCUCCCCAGGCUGCUCUCCUGCUUGGGGAAGGCAGAGGGUGAGGGGCGAGUGGGGCCCUGGGGCAGCACUUCAGCAAGCUGGCUCCUAGCUGUCCACUGCAGGGACUGCAGACCAGGAUAAGCAGGGAAAUUUCCACCAUCUCCCACGAAGGGGAAUAUUACCAGGACCCGAAUAGACACUGGGGUCUUGUACCUGAGGGCGAGACAUGUCUCUGGAUAUAAGGAAGCAGUUAUGCUGAGAGAUGACAGAGGCCAACACUUAUGUAUUAUCUACCAGUGGUGGGCUUCACAGCAGCUGCAUAGACACAUCUCAUUUAAUUCUCAUGAGAGUCCUGUUACAGUGCUACCAUUAUGCCUAAUUCACAAACAAGAAAACCAAGGUUGAAUAAAUAUCCUGCCCAAGUUGGCUGAGACCAGGAUACAUGCUUUGGAAGCAAAUUACCUUUCCCACCAGCCCCAGGGACACAGAGAGGACCCAGGCCACCCUCAAGGGACAUACAGGCGAUUGAGGACAUCAGAUCUAUAAACUAAUGAUUUCAACUCAACAAUGUAAACAUUCAAGGGAAUUAAGAAGAAAAUGCUUAUGGAAACAAAAAAGAGUCAAGGUCAUCUGUGGGGGAGGGGGUUGCUGGAAGAGGUGUCAUGAACAAAGUGACAUUUGCAUUGGGCUUUGCAGGACAAGCAGCUAUUUGCCAAACAGAAGAAAGGGCCUUCCAUGUAGACGUGUCCACCAGGGAAAAGGCAUAAAGGAGUGAAAGUUCAUGGAGGGCCAAGCACGGGGGAGAAGUUCAGUCCAGGGUGACCCUGGGGAGGAGGGCUGUCAGGGACCUCGGAUUUGGACUCUUCAAUGCUCCCUCCAGAAUAAGGGUAUACACCCAGUCAUUGUACUCUGUGUGUGUGCAUUAGAAACUUUGGUUUGUUAAAUGAACAAAUUAAAACUGUACCACAAAUUUGAUCAUCCUCUUUUGGAAUUUUAAAAAACAAACCUAGAGUCUCAAAAAAACCUGAAGCACUAUCCUCCUCUUUCAAAAAUACAUACGGAGGUAUUUUCAGAUUAAAAAAAAACAUACUGUCUUCGAUUUGCCUUAAAAUAAUCCAAUGUGGGGUGUGGAGGGGACAAGACUGGGUGUGUCUUGAAACUGGGUGAUAGAUACACGGAGAUUCGUCAUCUUUCUCUACUUUCAAAUGGGUUUGAACGUUGUUAUAAUAAAAGAUUUUUUUUAGAGAGCCCCCACCACCACCCUGAGUGGUCCUGGGGAGCUCCAGGAUGUUUUUUUCUGGGGAGAGGGAAGGAUGAAUGAUGGGCAGGAGUGGACAUGGGGCUGAAAAGUGGAUUGGAGCCAAACUGUAAAAACCCUUGUAAAUUCUUCUGCGAGGUUUGGACUUAAUCCUGCAAAUGAUGGGAAGCCCAGGAAAGAAUUUUUAGUAGGGGAAUGACACCAUUAGAUGUGCAGUUGGGAAACAACCCUUGUGGCUGGUGUCUGGAAGACAGGGGGGUAUGUGUGUGUGUUUAGGGAGGAGGGGCUGGGGUCAAGCAGAGGGCCCAGAUGAGGCCUAUGAGUGGUGGGCCUGCCUUCCCCACUACACCGUCCCUAGGCUGUGCCACCAGGGAGGACCCGACCUGAGGCAGGGACCAGGGAACAGAAAGGAAGGAUGAAUCUGAGCGAGACCUCUUUUAUUUCUGUCUUUGCAGCACCACACUCUCUUGUGGUCCCUCUUCGCAACAAGUAAUUACUUAGUGCAAUAUGUCAAUAAAGAUGACCUACCGACUGUGUCUCUGGCUAGACUAGGUAUAGCCAGACCAAGGCUGUCUCCCUCCCUCCUUAACCCCCGCACUGGCCUGAUGCCUGGCAACAGUCAGCUGUUGAGUGAAUGGAAGUAUAGCAGGGGCCUGUCCCUGAUCACUAAGUCUUUGCUGCAUGAAUGAAUAAAUCCAGCACAGCAUCUGACACGUCGUAGCCCCUCAGUAAAUGUCUGCAGUGGGACCCAACUAACGUGAACCUGCAGGACACCGAUUCUCAAGGCGGGUGAGGAAGGUUCAGAUUCCCCUUUAGGAAAAAAGCAUUUUCCUCUCAGCACAAGAGCGUCCAAACAGGCAGUGGUUCCUAAGCCGAAAGGGGAUGGGAAAAAAACAAACCGGGCGCAAGGUUUGUCCAUUAAUAUGUCGGCCCUUGAAACUGAUGUCUUCAUUUCCAGCUUGGCUCCUUGAUGAGGUGCUUCCUCCAUUUCAGAUGGAUGGUGUUUUUUCCUCUUCUGAAAAAAGCUUCUAGAGGCUUUUAAAUUAGGCAAAUGAGCAAGGGCAAUGUUCAUUUCUUUCCCUUUCAUUUUGAAAACGUGUGGCGUGCCAAAAGGCAGUUGGACGGAAUGUUCAGAGGCCACAUAAUAGAACAACAGAGGCUGCCAAGCUCCGAAAUCACAAACCAGACAAGACAAUCUCAGCUCUCGGGACGUAGAGACCCCUGGUCAGCACCAUGAGUCCCCAGCAAGUGACAAGAUGGACCACCACCCACAGUUCCAGCAGGAAAGGAUGCCUCUACCUUGAGGUCCUUACAAGAAGAGAUGAAGUCCAUUUUCCCCCUCCUCAAAUCUGGGAUGGCCUUGUAACUUUCUUUGGCCAAGACAGUGCAGCAGAAGUGAUGAUAGGGGUUCUAAGCCUAGUGCCUGUGGGCACAGCAGGACAGCAGCAUAGAACCCUCCUGAGGGCCAGAUUCGACAUCCUCCAUCUCAACAGGGUCCCCGAGGUUUUCCUGACUCCAAGGACACUGCAGAUUCCCAGCUCAUAACAAAUGAUGUUCAUGCACAUGCCAGCCCUUUCUUUCUAUGAGGCAAUCCUCAGAGGCCUUUGCCAAGAUAAACUGUUUGGCCUUCUGCCUUGAAAGUCGAUCCUCUUCUGCGUCUGAUUAUUGCUUUUCUGAAACACAGGGACAAUGACAUCAUUGCUCCCUCCCUGGUUUGGGGAUUUGAUGGUCAGCAUGAAGUCAGGGUUUGGAAUGGUGCCUGCUCUUUGCCAAUGUCCACGGGCGGGGGUGGCCUGGAGUAAAGCAAGCUCGUGAGGGGGAGGUGGGUGCCGUGAGGUCCCCAGGGGCUGGGGGUUGGGGGCAGAUUCGCUUUUCAUUCUGUUGCCAGCAUCCGGGUCUGCCUUGUUGUAUAUGGGAUAGGCAGUAUUCUGAUGAGGGCUGAGCUGACAUUCAAUGGAUACACACCUGCCUGGCUGUACCCAUUAUUACAAUGGUUAAAUACCUUCGUUCCCAUUGGUAGUCAUUUGUGGGGUGCCUUCCCACCACCUCAGCUUCUCUGGCCUCUCCCUGGGCCAACAUCCUAGAAUUCCCACCAUCUAGCACCUCCAGGGACCUAUCCAGUAGCCCUCUGAUGGUCGAUGCCUGUGCCACACUGUAGGUAAAAUAUGCUUACUACUCCUCACAGAGGGAUGGGAGAACUUUGGCUGGUCUGUUGGCUAGAUGCCUGCAGGAGGCCAUUGCCAUGUGAGUUAGGGUCAAAGUCUGUUUCUUGGGCUCCCAGGCCUGGAACCUGUCAACAGAAAUUCCCUCUUGCCACUGUGGGGCAUGGUCCUUGCAUAAUCAAGGGUUAAUAGUUCCUCUGCUAGAGGUUAGAAGGCACUGCAGAGGUUAUUCCCGUCCACCCGACUCUUUGCACAGAGAACCUUCAGCUCAGAAGGGAAGUCAUUUGUUCAAGUCAUAGCAAGUUGGUGACCCAUCCAAGCCUUCUGACUGUCAUGAUAGCCAAGGGAACAUUUCCCAUACCCCAAAGGGACUGUGCCUGGGGUAAAAAUCAGGAAUUACUGAAGCGGUUUAUUUAGUCCAUCUAGAGCACAAUUUCUCCCAAAAUGAAAAGCAAGGCAGUGUCAAGCUGCAAUGAGAGAGCUCGGGGGCCAGGGGUGGUAAACUUGAAUGCCCGGGGGCCAAGGAGUGACAGAUGCCAGGGAGGAGGAGGCAAGCAAAGACCAUGAAGACGUUUGAAACAUUCUACCCUCGUAGGCUCCCUUUCUGCACCAGGUCCAUUUAGCAGAAUGGUCAUUGUCUUCUCUAGUUUGUGUGGAUUUCAAACUUAGCCCUGGCCAGGCACAAUCAUAUUACCCAGUAACCUGGCAGGUACCUAUGCAGAGGUCUCGAUUUGGCAGUGCAUGGGCUGAACGUGGCUUGUGAAUCUAUUUCACUGGGACCACCCAGUGUUGCUGAUCUUUCAAAAACUGAAUAAGCUGCUAACAUUUAUAAAGUGGGAGAUUUCAUAUAAAAACUUGGACAUGGGGCUUUUCUUGAAUAAUUGUUAGGGAUCUGGGCACCUGUGCACCUGCAUUUCUGUAGGCAGAGCCAGGUCCUUUUAGAUGGGGCAUGUAUUCCUGUUCGCUACCCCACCCCCAUUUCCCUGUUGGCUUUGGUCAUUCGUUAGCCCAGGGGCACUCAAAUUUGCCACCCCUGGCUCAGAGUCUUCUUGCUGCAUGAGCUUGCCUUGCUUUUUGUUUCUUGGAAAAGUUGUGCUCUGGAUGGAAUAAGUAGCCCACUUCAGCAUUCAUGAUCUUUCUCUCCAAGUUCAGGCCCUUUUGGCUAUGAGGGAUUUCAGGGUCCCAGGCCUGUUGAGGUUGACCAAUGCUGUGAUUUUGAGGUUCCUCCCCUCCUCUCUGCCCACCUCCCUCCCCAGCAGUGUUAUUCUUUCCACUUAGGCUACCCAACUCCUGCCAUCCCAUUCCCGAGAGCCGCAUGCAGACCACGACACUUACAGACACUGCAGAGCACUCACGACGAGAGGGUGUGCAUGGGGAUUUGCGCAUAAGAGACACAUUUCUGACUUUAAGUUUGAAGAAUCUCAGUCACGUUGUGGGGACUAUACAAGAUGGGGAUGAUUGAAAGCAAAGUCCAAAUACACUGCCUCGUAUGAAGGAUUUCAUAAAAGACAGCUCACCUCCAUGGGGAAAGGGACGGGAGCCAUCAGGGAAGGCCUGAUGAAGGACGACGUGUUUGAGACGGCCCUUGAAGGAUGACUAGGAGCUUGAGAGUUGGGAAUUGGUUGGAGUGAGGGGAAGAAAUAGUGUUGCAGGCAGGCAGUGGGAAGGGUUGGAGAAGAGGCUGGUGUGGGGAAGGUGUGUGUGCAGCAGGUGCCGCCAGUGUGAAGAGGCAGGUGGGGGAUGAGGUAGGACCUCAGGUUGGAGAGACGGGUGGAGCCAUGCUUUGAGGACUUUAAUUGCCCUGGUAGGAGCUGGGGACCCUAUUAAAGUGCAGAAAAGGGAGAGGAGUUGUCAGUAAUUUACACCAAGUGAAGGAGGACUGACGGCUUAUUUUGCAGAGGGAAGAAAGAAAGGGAAGAAAGCAGAUGAGCUUUUGGGCAGAGGUGGGAGGGAAGGGAACAGGCUGACAUGCUCCAGCCAGGGGUGUUGAAGAAAGGAGAAGUGUAGAAGCCUGGAGUCAUGAAGGUGCUACACUGAGGAUCUUGGAACUUCCAGUCUGGAAGAGGCUUUGGAAAUAUCCAGCCCCAUCUCCUCAUGCUGCUGUGAAGGACACUGAGGGACUAAGUGGGGAGUGAGGGACAUGGAUCCUGGGGGGUGAAGCUGAGUUGUUUUAUCUUUUACAGUGUCUAACACAUAGUAUGUAUCCAGAAAAUUGUGUUGAAAUGGUUAAAAUGCUGCUUUCUCCCUAGAACUGACUUGAUAAAAUGGAAAGGAAAGUACGGUUAGCUGGUUGGUUGGUUGGUAGCAAGUCCAUGAAGGUGCCAUCACUUGCCGCUCCCCUUUGGAGGAAGCCCCCAGAUGAUUCACUUAUGCCCUCACGUGGGAUCUCAGUUCCCAUGGAGGUCCGGUGCUUGCUCAGGAGUUGGGGUGCAGUGCACUGGGUGGCUCCCCUUUCCUGCCCACCCUCCUCCCAGGCACGUUAUGUAAGUGGGCGGGGGUAGCCCGGCGGGCUGGUGGCUUCCUGCAGCAGCGGCAGGGCUGGGCAUCCGAGCUGGCACUGUUUAAGUUCACCGCAGCAUUCUGAACAUUUGGGAACACAGGAAAGGCUGCUUUUUAAGCUCCCUUUGUUUUCAAGGAGGGUCCGGAGCCCACAGGGAGGAGAAAAACAAAACCAGGAAAACAGAUGACUUGCUUUGCAAAGACAGUGUGUACAUUUGCUUGUGCUGCUCUGAGUCCUAAUAUACCCCUGUUCCCGUGCACAUAUGCACACCUACACAUCAGACACACCCACAACCUUUACUUACACCUUCCUCGGGCACGCAGACACACCCACAAGCCGAGACUUCUGUGCAUAUAGAUACCACCCUGCUAACGACAGGGGGACAUCCACACACGCAGCUGGCAAACGAAAACAUGCAACCAGAAACAUGGAGAUCCCUGUGCAGAGACACACACCAGUACCCACGUGCACACAUACCCACGUGUACACCAAAGACAUCCAGACACAUGGACACAUGCAGACAUACACACAGAAACUCUGAGACAGCCACUCUCACAGAUUCAUAGACAGAACACACACAUUCUCUCUCGCAUCCCUUUUUCUUGCCCUGGCUUCAACUGUACAAACAUGGGGAGUAUGUUUCCAAGGAGCCAGCUGGCCCCUGGGGACUCUCUGCAGCUUUAGGAGACCCAGAGCUCUCCUCCCCACACACCCUCAGCCUGCUGCCCACUAGGCUCAGGCCUCAGCCCUUUGGAGAAAGUGGGAGGGCAAGAUAAAGGUUCAAAAGGCUCCAGGGUGCAGAGGGCAAGUCCUUUUGCCUUUCCCCCUUUCCCUGGGGUGUUUGUAUUUCUAGAAUGUUCCACUUAGUGUCCUUGUUUAAUUAACAAGUUUGAAUCCUUCAUUCACAAAGUGAGCUCUUCAAUAUUAAGGAGAACUGAGGGGAGAGAGGCAGGGAGAGACCCAGGAGGGGCUGGUUGGAGCAUCCUUGUCAUCUGCUUGUCCUGGGGAUUUCUGCACGUUCCCAAGUUGGUACCCAAAAGGGGCUGGAGAAAAGAAGUUGGAAGAGAAGAUCUGGGGGGAGCGGGGACCUCCACAAUUCCUCUGGCAAUAAAGGAGAUAGGAAGAUAAAAAGUCCCGGGAAUCUUUAGCUACCAUCUGGGAGGGGCCAGAUUUCCCCUUCCUGUAACCUGUGCUGUUACUAAGAAUAUUUCCUUUGCUGUGUGUUCAGUUUCUCUAAUUGAAAUGGAAAAGCUGGGGCCUUUCCCUGGAGGAAGAAACUCCUUUCUCCCUGAGGAGAGGCCCAGGUGAGCUGGGGGCCCUCUAGGGAGGGACUCAGACCCAGAAGGUUAAGGAGCUCAGAGUCUGGGAGCUGCAAGAGGAAGUCCCCAGGUGCCAUCCUUCCAGGGUGCUCCCUGAGUCUGGUGGAAUCCAGUACACUCAGGAAUCGCUUAGGCUCGAGGGUGGGACCUGUGUCAGGGAGAGCAGAAUGGCAGCCCUGAAGGUAGAAGUGGAGGUUUCCCGGUCUUGCAUAGAUCUUAGGGAAGAUUGUGAAAUGGAUAAAGGUCCAAGAAAAUUACAUCUAGAUCUCAGAGGGCAAGGAAAGAGGCCCAGCUGACAUCUGGGCAACAUAUGUAAAAGCCUUUGCAAACUCUAAGGCACUGUGCAAUGCAAAGAAUCGUUUGCUGUCUUUGUUAUAAUGUAUACAAACCAUCAUCAAAAUGUUUGUGUUGAGUGGUUGAUAAUUACAAACGUAGCUGGGAAAGAAACCGACUGGGGCAGAUCCCUGGGACAACCAGCUCCGGCUUUGUCCGGCAGGCAGCACGAGGUGGGGGGAGGCUGACCGGCGAGAAUGUCUUCUUCUAAGACAGCUAACCUUUUUCCCUAAUGGCCAGGCCCCAACAGCUCCUCCUUCUCUAUCUUUUGCAUCAUCCACAGACUUAUUUAAACACUUUCUAACGUUUUUUAUACUUUUCCAGAGCCGCUCUUGGGAGUCUCUGCUGCAAUCUUUUUUUUUUUUUUUUGUCUUUUUGCGU
Sus scrofa (pig) is the source of this 7954-nucleotide long non-coding RNA. RefSeq lists it as uncharacterized. The record is from RefSeq and is a predicted model, not a curated record. NCBI's taxonomy places the organism in Eukaryota, Metazoa, Chordata, Mammalia, Artiodactyla, Suidae.